CUCGUAGGUGGUUGCGUAAGUCGGAUGUGAAAACUCAGGGCUUAACUCUGAGACGCCAUCCGAUACUGCGCUGACUUGAGUCCGGUAGAGGAGUGUGGAAUUCCUAGUGUAGCGGUGAAAUGCGCAGAUAUUAGGAGGAACACCUAUUGCGAAGGCAGCACUCUGGGCCGGUACUGACACUGAGGAGCGAAAGCGUGGGUAGCAAACAGGAUUAGAUACCCUGGUAGUCC
RNAcentral lists this ribosomal RNA (230 nucleotides) under uncultured bacterium. Its description in RNAcentral is "partial 16S ribosomal RNA". It matches the Rfam family "Bacterial small subunit ribosomal RNA", at positions 568 to 796 of the family's 1533-position model. The record is from RNAcentral.